CUAUCAGAUGAGCCUAGGUCGGAUUAGCUAGUUGGUGAGGUAAUGGCUCACCAAGGCGACGAUCCGUAACUGGUCUGAGAGGAUGAUCCAGUCACACUGGAACUGAGACACGGUCCAGACUCCUACGGGAGGCAGCAGUGGGGAAUAUUGGACAAUGGGCGAAAGCCUGAUCCAGCCAUGCCGCGUGUGUGAAGAAGGUCUUCGGAUUGUAAAGCCACUUUAAGUGGGAGGAAGGGCAGUUACCUAAUACGUGAU
This 255-nucleotide ribosomal RNA is filed under the name uncultured bacterium. RNAcentral's name for it is "partial 16S ribosomal RNA". It matches the Rfam family "Bacterial small subunit ribosomal RNA", at positions 218 to 469 of the family's 1533-position model. The record is from RNAcentral.